GGCCAGUUAGUUCAGUUGGUUAGAGUGUGGUGCUCAUAAAGCCAACGCUGUGGGUUUGAUCCCCAGGCGGGCCA
RNAcentral lists this transfer RNA (74 nucleotides) under Equus asinus (donkey). It matches the Rfam family "tRNA". From Rfam's summary of the family: Transfer RNA (tRNA) molecules are approximately 80 nucleotides in length. Their secondary structure includes four short double-helical elements and three loops (D, anti-codon, and T loops). Further hydrogen bonds mediate the characteristic L-shaped molecular structure. tRNAs have two regions of fundamental functional importance: the anti-codon, which is responsible for specific mRNA codon recognition, and the 3' end, to which the tRNAs corresponding amino acid is attached (by aminoacyl-tRNA synthetases). tRNAs cope with the degeneracy of the genetic code in two manners: having more than one tRNA (with a specific anti-codon) for a particular amino acid; and 'wobble' base-pairing, i.e. permitting non-standard base-pairing at the 3rd anti-codon position. RNAcentral also lists the same sequence under 1 other name. The record is from Rfam by way of RNAcentral. Lineage: Eukaryota; Metazoa; Chordata; Mammalia; Perissodactyla; Equidae.